Molecule: ribosomal RNA, 499 nt
Filed under: uncultured bacterium
Lineage: Bacteria
Description: partial 16S ribosomal RNA
Rfam family: Bacterial small subunit ribosomal RNA
Source: RNAcentral
AUUGAACGCUGGCGGCAUGCCUUACACAUGCAAGUCGAACGGCAGCACGGGAGCAAUCCUGGUGGCGAGUGGCGAACGGGUGAGUAAUGUAUCGGAACGUGCCCAGUCGUGGGGGAUAACGCAGCGAAAGCUGUGCUAAUACCGCAUACGAUCUAUGGAUGAAAGCGGGGGAUCGCAAGACCUCGCGCGAUUGGAGCGGCCGAUAUCAGAUUAGGUAGUUGGUGGGGUAAAGGCCCACCAAGCCUGCGAUCUGUAGCUGGUCUGAGAGGACGAUCAGCACACUGGGACUGAGACACGGCCCAGACUCCUACGGGAGGCAGCAGUGGGGAAUUUUGGACAAUGGGCGCAAGCCUGAUCCAGCAAUGCCGCGUGCAGGAUGAAGGCCUUCGGGUUGUAAACUGCUUUUGUACGAGACGAAAAGACUCGCUCUAAUACAGUGGGUACAUGACGGUAUCGUAAGAAUAAGCACCGGCUAACUACGUGCCAGCAGCCGCCGUAA